AGGACGAACGCUGGCGGCGUGCUUAACACAUGCAAGUCGAGCGGGCAUGAUCCGGUGGCAACACUGGUGAAGUGCUAGCGGCGAACGGGUGAGUAACACGUGAGCAACCUGCCCCCAAGUCUGGGAUAACCCCGGGAAACCGGAGCUAAUACCGGAUGCCCUCUCCGGAUCGCAUGGUCUGGCGAGGAAAGAAUUUCGCUUGGGGAGGACUCGCGGCCUAUCAGCUUGUUGGUGGGGUAAUGGCCUACCAAGGCUUCGACGGGUAGCUGGUCUGAGAGGACGACCAGCCACACUGGGACUGAGACACGGCCCAGACUCCUACGGGAGGCAGCAGUGGGGAAUCUUGCGCAAUGGGCGAAAGCCUGACGCAGCAACGCCGCGUGGGGAUGAAGGCUCUCGGGUCGUAAACCCCUUUCAGUGGGAACGAAAUGACGGUACCACAGAAGAAGGACCGGCCAACUACGCGCCAGCAGCCGC
RNAcentral lists this ribosomal RNA (477 nucleotides) under uncultured bacterium. RNAcentral's name for it is "SSU rRNA". It matches the Rfam family "Bacterial small subunit ribosomal RNA", at positions 26 to 518 of the family's 1533-position model. The record is from RNAcentral.